Molecule: long non-coding RNA, 3722 nt
Organism: Papaver somniferum (opium poppy)
Lineage: Eukaryota; Viridiplantae; Streptophyta; Magnoliopsida; Ranunculales; Papaveraceae
Exons: 8
Source: RefSeq, a predicted model, not a curated record
CACAUUUGGAGGGAAAGAAUGUCAAAAUGUUUAGGAAGCAUAAUAAUUCUACUGAUCAGGUGAGUUGGAUGAUUAUUCAAGAUGUGAAAUUAAAAUUGGCUGCUCAAGACAUCAGGGUUGAUGAUAAUUCCCAGACUAAAUCGUUUUUUCUUUCAAUGGAAUAUGCCUUGUCUGUUCCAACUAACAGUGGAGCUGAGAUGUACUUGUUAAGAUCUGGAGGGGAUACUGUUAUGAUUACAAGUGGGUCUUUGGGUGAAGAUCUGGGAGGUUAUGGAGCUAAAAUUAGAGGCAACCCUGGUGUUUGUGUUUUUGUUGUUGUGUGGUAUAGCAAUGACAAUUAUGUUCUUGGUCAUGAGUUACGGGGAGUUGAAGUUGGUAUGAUGGCGGACAAUUAUAUGGGAUUUAGCAGAGUCCAUUUUGGAAUGGAUUCCAUGACAGAUGUGGUGCUUCUAAAUAAUAGUGGCCGUACUCCUCACUGGAAUGUGCAGUACGUAUAUCUGGAGACACAUUGUUAGACCAAGGAAGCAGUUUGAUUAGAUAAAACUUAAACAUGUCUAUUAUGAGACUAAUAGAGCCACAUAGCUGGUAUUAAUCCACCUUCCUCUUUUGAGGUGUUAGAUCAGAAGCAGUUAGGGGACGGCUUUGCUCAUCCUUCUUCACUCAUCAGAUCUAUUCUUCAGUUUAAUCCCACCAACUACAAAUUCUCAUUAGCAGUGAAAAAUCAUCAGAUCCAUUAGAUCCAUCUCGGUUCGACUAAGGAUAAUAGUUCCGAUGAUUGAUUUUGUUAAUAGAGAAUAAAACCAUUUUUUUUUCAUUUUCUUCAUUAUUUUCUUCAAAGAUUAUCUCGAUUUUUCCUAUCGAUUCUCUCGUCUGAGAUGAGUUUCUAUCUCGUCUUUGGGUUUGUUGGAUAUUUUAACAUAUGUCGAGAAAUUUGAUUUGGGUUUAAAGAAGUUUUUCUCUGCUUGAGUGUUUGUGGGUUUUUGAUGCUUAAAGUUAAAAGUUUUUAUUUUUAUUUUUUGUAGAAAUCUGAACUAUCUCCUCUUUCAGUUCUUCUCACAAUCAUCUGAACUAUCUUUUUUGUUUCUUCUUUUGUUUUUUCAUUCUUUUUCACAAAGUAAUUUCAGAUCUAUAUACUUGAGUUUCAAAUAUACCCUAAACUUACCCGAAAUCCUCAUAUCUGCAAACCCUUUUUAGAGAAAUCAAAUCCAUCUUUGAAUAACCUGGUUUCACAAACCUUAUAGAGUACAUUUUGAGACUCAGAGAAGAUUAAGUAUAAAUCCUAUAUUUGCAAUUUUUUGAGAAGAAGAAUCAGGUAAACUUCUCCAUCUCACUACUGGCUUGAUUUGGCUUUGCAUCUCUCUUUAUCUAUCUUUGUCUUUUAAUUCUACUUUGGCGAUUAAGUGAUCUAUUGUGAUGCAGUGAUGUUGAUUCAAGAAUUUUUUCAUGGCCAAACAAUUGAUGGAUAAGGCGAUUAUUAGAAUUACUGGGUGUAUUUCAACUCUAUUCAAUCAAUUCCCCUUUUCAUUUGGAACUUGGGUUUUCCUUAAUUGUUAAACUGGAUCUUAGCUUAGGAUCUGUAUGUUUGCAGAUGUUAUUUGGGUGAUUUGUUAGUCUAAGUUCACUUGGAUCUGUUUGUCUGAAAUGCAUAAUCACUACAUUCCUUUAAUGGGUUUUUAUAUAUUGUAUCUAAUAUCACGCAUCGUCUGUGAGAAAUUAGUACUGCCAAUUUCCAAGAUGUUCUUUGUAGUUUCAUAUCUUAAGUCGAUCACAUUCAUUUUAAAUAUUUAAGUUCUAAAACAGAAUUCCUGUAAUAUGUGAAAUUGUAAAAUGCACAAAGAAUUUAAUUCUCUAAGUAUCCAUGAAUUGUGAGUUUCGUGUUUACAUGAGUUUUAAAUGGUGUUGUUUGAAUAGCUCUACUGCUGGUCAAGAGUAAUUUGGUGGCCUUAUGGUGUUUACAUGAGUUUUAAUUCAGGUCCAGGCCUUUAGGAGUCUUGAGUUCUAUAUUUGCUACUAUGUAUGCGGAGACUUUAGAAAGAGGCAUAACCAUUGCCGCCAGAGUGCCAUUUAUAAUUCGUUCUAUUUCAUUGUAGCCGUUAUACCACAAUGGUCUCGGUUGCUCCAGUGUCUCCGUCGGUGGGUUGAAGAGAAAGAUGGGUCUCAGGCAUACAACGGUUUAAAAUACCUCUUGACAGUAAUUGCAGUCCUAAUCAGGACAGAGUUCGAUUUAAAGAAGGGAACGAGUUGGAGAGUUGCAACUAUAGUGAGCUCUGCCAUUGCAGCAAGCAUGAGUACUUAUUGGGACAUCGUCAAGGAUUGGGGGCUUCUUCAACGGCAUUCAAAGAACCCUUGGCUGAGAGACAAACUUCUCAUCUCACACACUAGUGUCUACUUCAUAGCCAUGGUGCUUAAUGUCAUUCUCAGACUUGCUUGGCUGCAAUCUGUUUUGAACUUCCAUGUGCCAUUCUUGCAUCGAAGAGCCUUAACCACCAUAGUAGCAUGUCUGGAGAUUCUUGGUCGAGGGAUGUGGAAUUUCUUCAGGUUGGAGAAUGAGCACUUGAACAAUGUUGGAAAGUUCUGCGCUUUCAAGUCAGUCCCACUCCCUUUCAGUUACGAUGAUGAAGGUAGUAGUAGUAGCAAGGGUGACAAGCAAACCAACAGAUGAAACGUUACAACAACAUCCAGAAAUGAUUUGCUAGUCCGUUGGUCCAGCUAAGCACAAAGCUAAAAACCACAUAGUGUAUACAGAAAUCAUUUUUUUUCCUCCAAACCACAUUGAGGCUAUAGAUCCUGAUUACUUUAAAAAUUUAAAAUGGAUGCUUGAGAAUGACAUUAGUGAUGUGCAAGACCUAACUUUCAGCAUGGACGCCGACGAGGAGAAGCUGAUAUUAUAUGAGAGGGCUGAGGUCACUGAUUAUGAACUGAUUCCUGGUGGUACUGAGCACAUUAGCUAAUGAUACAGAGAUAAAUAUAAUACUGAGUUUCCUCCAUGUUCGUCUAGGCCAUGAAAUUCUUUACUUAGGAAAAAUGAGUAUUUCCUUGUAUGGAAUUCUGACAUGAAACUGAGACAAAUUGUCUCAACUUUUAAGUAAUUUUUGAAUUCAGCCUAAUGGCUUCUUAAAUGGCCCUCCAAAUUGAUCCUAGUGAUGCAGUUGUACUAUCUAAUAGGAGUUUGUGUUAUGUCUACUGAAUGUAUAUUUAAAGCUUCAAAGUGAGUUUGGACAUCUAGAUUGUCUAUGGAAGAUUCUCAACAACGAAUUGAUGGCUGAACCUUGCUUCUCGAUUGAGUUGGGCCAGUUAGUUAGCGAUCGAAGGCAUAAAUGGUGAAGUCUUGCAGGUGCUUCUGGUAAGAAAGGUGGUUAGUGUGAAUUAGUAAUGAUAAGUGUGCUAGCUACCUCUUUUUCUAAUUGAAGAGUCGGACAAUCUUUAUAAGCCUACUUCUGUCGAAGAGGUGAGAUUGUAUUGCAGGCAGAAAUUGCAAUUUUGUUUCAGGUUAUUUGUAUUGCAGGCCUGUAAACUGAAAGUGUAGGUCCAUCAUGAUGACCUGUACUGCAGGCCUGUAAAAUGGAAGCCCGGAUCCAUGAAAAUUAUCCGGGCUAUCCAUUUUUUUUUAAUUGUAAUUUAAAGAAUUGUCACUGGAUUAACUGUAACAAGAGUUCAAAUCUGUUCACACUCCUUUCACGAGUGUAUAUUUCACAUUCACUUCUGAUUGGUUGAUUAUUUAA